UCUAAUGUGGCAGAUUAGUGCAAUGGAUUUAAGCUUCAUAUAUAAAGAUUUUUCUUUUAUUAGAA
This 65-nucleotide transfer RNA is filed under the name Leptopeza flavipes. RNAcentral's name for it is "tRNA-Leu". Lineage: Eukaryota; Metazoa; Arthropoda; Insecta; Diptera; Hybotidae. The record is from RNAcentral.